This 393-nucleotide ribosomal RNA is filed under the name uncultured bacterium. RNAcentral's name for it is "partial 16S ribosomal RNA". It matches the Rfam family "Bacterial small subunit ribosomal RNA", at positions 523 to 918 of the family's 1533-position model. The record is from RNAcentral.
AUACGGAGGAUGCGAGCGUUAUCCGGAUUUAUUGGGUUUAAAGGGUGCGUAGGCUGUUAGUUAAGUCAGGGGUGAAAUGCCGGUGCUCAACGCCGGAGCUGCCCUUGAUACUGGCUGGCUGGAGUGCGGAUGCCGUUGGAGGAAUGAGUGGUGUAGCGGUGAAAUGCUUAGAGAUCACACAGAACACCGAUUGCGAAGGCAUCUCACGAACGGAUGAUUGACGCUGAGGCACGAAAGCGUGGGGAUCAAACAGGAUUAGAUACCCUGGUAGUCCACGCAGUAAACGAUGAUAACUAACCGCUGGUAAGUAAUUAUCAGUGGCCAAGCGAAAGCGAUAAGUUAUCCACCUGGGGAGUACGACCGCAAGGUUGAAACUCAAAGGAAUUGACGGGG